GGCAGACUGCUCAGGCUGUUCAAAGGGCCUGCACCUGCCCCAGCACAGCAGCCUGAAGAGCCCAGCAGUGCUCCAUUCCUACACAGACACGGGAAGAGGGCAGAACCAGAGGCCAUCGUGGCCUAACGGUGAGCUUUGGGUGUGCCAAAAAGCAAAUGAAGCAGCAGCAGCAGCAGCGGAGUGGCUGAGACUCAGAGCCGCNUGCGUGGUUUUGGGCCUUUGCCCCGGCAGGCCUGGAGUAGCUGCUGCUACUGAGGUCUUCUCCUUUCCUCCAGGACAACAGCCACGUGCAGCUGCUCGCCAUUCAGCUCUUCGGCAAGGUGAUGGAGCAGGUCAUGGAAGAGGGGAAAAAGCCUCUCACGAGAAUCGUGAACCAGAGCCUGCUCCCUCUCUUCUUGCGCUGGCAUGAGGAGAACUGGCGCGUGGCAAAGGUGAGGUUUUGUGUGACGGUGCUGCUGCUGCUGCAUCGCUGGCAGGGGGCUCGGCUGCCUCCAGCCCUGGCACCUCGCGGGCUCCAGCCUCCCCCUGGCCUUGGCACAGGGACGCGGGUCCCGUGCCCCGGGCUCUGGUGCCACCUGCGGCUCUCUGCUGCUCUCCAGGCAUCUCGCCAAACACUGCUUUGUGCGGCACGGUUCCUGAGGAGGAGCGAUCUCGAGGUGCUACUGAGGAAGCAGCUGCGGAUGAAGUUCGCCGAGUGCCUGCUGCUGGAGGACGAGAGCCGAGCGGCCGAACACGUGCGCUGGGCCCUGCCGUGCCUGCAGAGCCCACAGAGGUGCCUGCGAGAGGCGGCCGUCAGGUUCAUCGGGGUCGCCGGGGUGCUCAUGAUGGGGCAGAAGGAGGAGCUCCAGGUGCUCAGCGAGGCCCUUCAAGCCCUCAGAGAAGAUGAGAGCCCCUCCUUAAUGAGCCAGGUUGUCCAGCAGACGUUUGACAGAAGAUCUGCUCAACUUCGUCUGCUGGAUCAAUAGAACCGGUGUCCUUCGGCGACCUCCAGGUCCCAUUGAAGAUGGGACCACCUGCAGAGCAGAGGGGACCAGCUCCAGCUCCAGCUCCAGCUGAUGCUGGUCCUAGCUGAACCUGUUGGAAGCUCCAGCAGCUCCUGCAUCUCUCUCCCUGUUGGCAGCUCCCUCCCUCCAGCCCUUGGCCCCUGCCCAUCCCCUUUUUUCCCUCCCAGCUCACCCCUUCGCUUUGCCUUCCCCUAUUAAACAGUUUGAUUUCUUCACUUUACCCACGUCUCUGUGGAGCUGAAGUAGCACAAAACCUGAGCCCUGGGACACGCAGGGCCCUGCUGCCGUUCCCUUCUGCGCUGUGUUUUGUGCACGGACACAGAGGAACGAGCUGAGGCUGCAAAGGUCCCUGUCCUGCAGGUGCAGCAGCACAAUAUCGUGGAGUUCAAGGUCACUCUGAGCACGCUGCAGGGGACAAGGACCCUGGCUUUUAGAAGAGCCAACCUGAGUAUGCUCUGAUCCCAGUCGUGAGGGAUUCCAUGGCGAGCAUUGACGGAGGGCAAAGGAGCUUGCAGGGUUGGAAGUUUUCACAGAGCUUCCUCCAAGCACAGCAAUGCUCCAUUCCUACACAGACACGGGAAGAGGGCAGAACCAGAGGCCAUCGUGGCCUAACGGUGAGCUUUGGGUGUGCCAAAAAGCAAAUGAAGCAGCAGCAGCAGCAGCGGAGUGGCUGAGACUCAGAGCCGCGACCGUGCUGGGUGUGGGUCUGGCGGUUCAGCUCUCCCCACAAGCGAGGAAUCGCAGCCCCUGCCUCAGAGCCAGUCAGAAAGCCAACCAAGUGAGACCAGAGGCUGGGGAGCCUUCCCAUCUCUCUUGGCCAUGGCUGCAAAGCACCACUGCGUCUUCCUGCGCCUGUGUUUGGGGUGUGCUGAGCCCAGAGGCGGCCAGCUCGGGCUCUGUUGUCCCAAGAGCGUUCUGGGUGGGCACGGGAAGUGCUGUGUGCACAGUGGAGUGUCCUGGAAGGUGCUCACGAGAAGCUCCUGUGGGAACAGGGCUCUGCUCUCUGGCUGGGAACAGCCUGGAUUUGCUGCCAAGACCGCAGGCAGGAGUUGAGGCACGUGAAGAGGCCGCGGGCAGCUCGUGUUUGCAGGGGACGUGGGGCUGUGCACCAAAAGAGACAUGGGGAAACAGACUUAGGUUAAGGAAUGGCAUUCUAGCCAAGAAGAGGGAAUUUAUAUUGUUUAGGGAAUGAAUACACCCUACAAGUACUGACUAUGUAGCAAUGCACUUUAGCGCUUCCUUACACUAGAUUUAGUGAAAGGUGAAACAUAUGGUCGGGUCUUAACAUAAAAUUAGGUGCAAAACCUUUUUUUCCUGUAAAGCAAUUUUCAGGAGAUUAAGAUCUACAAAUGGAUUAGAAAAUACAUGUUCUAUCUAUACCUUUAAAACAACCUUUACAUUGCUGAUAGAUGGUAUGUUUGGAAAUAGCUGAAGGAGAUCAGCUCUGUCCAAACAUAUUUCUUAGUGUUACAGAUGAGUGUGUUUUUCCAGUAGCUAGGUAACCAGAAACACUUCCCUUCAGCUUGUUGGCCUUUGGACUUUUUCAUUUUAAGUAGAGAAAAAGUGAAAAAGAAGACAUUGGGUUAAUAGAUGUCUGUGGUAACAAGAUGUACACAACUUUGUCUCCUCAAGGGUGGACCUGCCCCUGCAGUUAAUAUGCAGCUCAAACUUGCUUUGUUCUGUUGUUGGACUGCUUUGGAAUUCUGCUUGGGAAUGCCCUCAUUGACCGUUUUGAGGCCGCAAGUGGGUUGAACUGCAUUUUUAGUCAUUGAAGUGCACUGGAAAAUGCAACUAGAUCCUCAAUUUGACCUUGAAAAAUGAAAUGCUUUGAAAUGUAGGAUUUGCUUCACACCAGCAAUGUAAGAACUGUUUCUGCUGAGCUUUAAUUUGGUAUUGUCUGAAACUCUUUUAUAUUUCCAGAGGACAUUUACUUUCAAAUCUCUAGGGAAAUCCAGAUUUCCAGACAUUUAUUUUCAAAUAUCUGAGGAAAAGGAACUAAUUUUCUAUUCCAAACACAUUGAAAGGCAACAGAACAUAAUUCUGUGGUUUUGCCACUGACAUUGGCUGAUGAAAUAAUAAUGGUUAUUUUUAAUGAGAACAGAGAGGAUUUUUUGAGGUGCAGUGAGAACCAGAAUGAUUCCAUCAUAUCUGUCCUUAGAUUUCUGAAUGGUUUUGCAGAGAAAAAGACGCAAGUGAUUCCAGAGAUUUCUAAAUUUUGUGCUAGAAAGGGAAGAUGUUCAUAGCAAGAGUAUAUGGUGAGAUUUUAAUGGGAUAUAUUGUUUCAUGCAAUACCUCUUAGUUGUAUCUUAAUAAAGACUUCAAAAUGUGUUUGGAGGAUGUUUCU
Long non-coding RNA from Parus major (Great Tit), 3348 nucleotides. NCBI's taxonomy places the organism in Eukaryota, Metazoa, Chordata, Aves, Passeriformes, Paridae. The record is from Ensembl.